Molecule: ribosomal RNA, 509 nt
Filed under: uncultured soil bacterium
Lineage: Bacteria
Description: bacterial SSU rRNA
Rfam family: Bacterial small subunit ribosomal RNA
Source: RNAcentral
AGAUUGAACGCUGGCGGCAGGCCUAACACAUGCAAGUCGAGCGGUAGAGAGGUGCUUGCAUCUCUUGAGAGCGGCGGACGGGUGAGUAAUGCCUAGGAAUCUGCCUAGUGGUGGGGGAUAACGUUCGGAAACGGACGCUAAUACCGCAUACGUCCUACGGGAGAAAGCGGGGGACCUUCGGGCCUCGCGCCAUUAGAUGAGCCUAGGUCGGAUUAGCUAGUUGGUGAGGUAAUGGCUCACCAAAGGCGACGAUCCGUAACUGGUCUGAGAGGAUGAUCAGUCACACUGGAACUGAGACACGGUCCAGACUCCUACGGGAGGCAGCAGUGGGGAAUAUUGGACAAAAGGGCGAAAGCCUGAUCCAGCCAUGCCGCGUGUGUGAAGAAGGUCUUCGGGUUGUAAAAGCAACUUUAAAGUUGGGAAGGAAGGGUUUGUAAACGUUAAUAACGUUGACAACUUUGACGUUACCGACAAGAAUAAGCAACCGGCUAACUUCGUGCCAGCAGCCG